Non-coding RNA from Gossypium hirsutum (cotton), 105 nucleotides. The record is from Rfam. Lineage: Eukaryota; Viridiplantae; Streptophyta; Magnoliopsida; Malvales; Malvaceae.
AUCCCGUGGUGAGGGCAUCUACGAAGUAACUCCUUAAAUGUUUCUCAUGCCUCGUAUAAGGAUUCGUUAUCCAUUUGUUGAAAAGGGUUAUCUCAUUCCGCAACU